AGCGAACGCUGGCGGCAGGCUUAACACAUGCAAGUCGAGCGGGCGUAGCAAUACGUCAGCGGCAGACGGGUGAGUAACGCGUGGGAACGCACCUUUUGGUUCGGAACAACCCAGGGAAACUUGGGCUAAUACCGGAUAAGCCCUUACGGGGAAAGAUUUAUCGCCGAAAGAUCGGCCCGCGUCUGAUUAGCUAGUUGGUGAGGUAACGGCUCACCAAGGCGACGAUCAGUAGCUGGUCUGAGAGGAUGAUCAGCCACAUUGGGACUGAGACACGGCCCAAACUCCUACGGGAGGCAGCAGUGGGGAAUAUUGGGCAAUGGUCGCAAGACUGACCCAGCCAUGCCGCGUGAAGGAAGAAGGCUUUCUGAGUUGUAAACUUCUUUUAUCUGGGAAUAAAAUACCCUUGCGAGGGGAACUGAAGGUACCAGAUGAAUAAG
RNAcentral lists this ribosomal RNA (437 nucleotides) under uncultured bacterium. RNAcentral describes it as "bacterial SSU rRNA". It matches the Rfam family "Bacterial small subunit ribosomal RNA", at positions 29 to 490 of the family's 1533-position model. The record is from RNAcentral.